UGAUCCUGGCUCAGAACGAACGCUGGCGGCGUGGAUAAGACAUGCAAGUCGAACGAGAGAAUUGCUAGCUUGCUAAUAAUUCUCUAGUGGCGCACGGGUGAGUAACACGUGAGUAACCUGCCCCCGAGAGCGGGAUAGCCCUGGGAAACUGGGAUUAAUACCGCAUAGUAUCGAAAGAUUAAAGCAGCAAUGCGCUUGGGGAUGGGCUCGCGGCCUAUUAGUUAGUUGGUGAGGUAACGGCUCACCAAGGCGAUGACGGGUAGCCGGUCUGAGAGGAUGUCCGGCCACACUGGAACUGAGACACGGUCCAGACACCUACGGGUGGCAGCAGUCGAGAAUCAUUCACAAUGGGGGAAACCCUGAUGGCGCGACGCCGCGUGGGGGAAUGAAGGUCUUCGGAUUGUAAACCCCUGUCAUGUGGGAGCAAAUUAAAAAGAUAGUACCACAAGAGGAAGAGACGGCUAACUCUGUGCCAGCAGCCGCGGUAAUACAGAGGUCUCAAGCGUUGUUCGGAAUCACUGGGCGUAAAGCGUGCGUAGGCUGUUUCGUAAGUCGUGUGUGAAAGGCGCGGGCUCAACCCGCGGACGGCACAUGAUACUGCGAGACUAGAGUAAUGGAGGGGGAACCGGAAUUCUCGGUGUAGCAGUGAAAUGCGUAGAUAUCGAGAGGAACACUCGUGGCGAAGGCGGGUUCCUGGACAUUAACUGACGCUGAGGCACGAAGGCCAGGGGAGCGAAAGGGAUUAGAUACCCCUGUAGUCCUGGCAGUAAACGGUGCACGCUUGGUGUGCGGGGAAUCGACCCCCUGCGUGCCGGAGCUAACGCGUUAAGCGUGCCGCCUGGGGAGUACGGUCGCAAGAUUAAAACUCAAAGAAAUUGACGGGGACCCGCACAAGCGGUGGAGUAUGUGGCUUAAUUCGAUGCAACGCGAAGAACCUUACCUGGGCUUGACAUGUAAUGAACAACAUGUGAAAGCAAGCGACUCUUCGGAGGCGUUACACAGGUGCUGCAUGGCCGUCGUCAGCUCGUGUCGUGAGAUGUUUGGUUAAGUCCAGCAACGAGCGCAACCCCUGUUGCCAGUUACCAGCACGUGAAGGUGGGGACUCUGGCGAGACUGCCCAGAUCAACUGGGAGGAAGGUGGGGACGACGUCAGGUCAGUAUGGCCCUUAUGCCCAGGGCUGCACACGUACUACAAUGCCCAGUACAGAGGGGGCCGAAGCCGCGAGGCGGAGGAAAUCCUAAAAACUGGGCCCAGUUCGGACUGUAGGCUGCAACCCGCCUACACGAAGCCGGAAUCGCUAGUAAUGGCGCAUCAGCUACGGCGCCGUGAAUACGUUCCCGGGUCUUGCACUCACCGCCCGUCA
Molecule: ribosomal RNA, 1364 nt
Filed under: uncultured bacterium
Lineage: Bacteria
Description: 16S ribosomal RNA
Rfam family: Bacterial small subunit ribosomal RNA
Source: RNAcentral